This 380-nucleotide unclassified non-coding RNA is filed under the name fungal sp. RNAcentral describes it as "partial internal transcribed spacer region". The stretch from base 1 to 46 matches the Rfam family "Eukaryotic small subunit ribosomal RNA", at positions 1786 to 1831 of the family's 1831-position model. The record is from RNAcentral. Lineage: Eukaryota; Fungi.
AAGUCGUAACAAGGUUUCCGUAGGUGAACCUGCGGAAGGAUCACUAACACGUGUCCAAACGUUAAAACCCCCUCGCGAACCUUCAUCCUGCUCUUGUAACCCGUAGUGAUUCAGAGACCUCUGGCUACGCGCGAACAUUGGAACAGUUACAAUCGAGCGGUACUUCAAUAGGCAAUGUUUCCCCAAGCAGGCAGUGUCGGAAAGUGUCAUUGAUUGUGCAAGGAUAGCGCUUCUACUUUCCUGUAGACCGUUCACUCGAGAAGGAGCUUUGCCAAAUAGUCCCCAUGGCCCCUAAUAACCCCACAGUUUAAUGUGAAGCUCAAUGUAAUACAUUGGGUAAAAAGACCGAACAACUGUUAACAAUGGAUAUCUUGGUUCUC